RNAcentral lists this non-coding RNA (29 nucleotides) under Rattus norvegicus (Norway rat). The record is from RNAcentral. Lineage: Eukaryota; Metazoa; Chordata; Mammalia; Rodentia; Muridae.
UAUUAUCCUCGUGGAUCAGAGAAAAUAGA